UUCGAGAUAGCUCAGUUGGUAGAGCAGCGGACUGUUAAUCCGUUGGUCCCAGGUUCGAACCCUGGUCUCGGAG
RNAcentral lists this transfer RNA (73 nucleotides) under Pseudomonas phage Phabio. It matches the Rfam family "tRNA". Rfam says of the family: Transfer RNA (tRNA) molecules are approximately 80 nucleotides in length. Their secondary structure includes four short double-helical elements and three loops (D, anti-codon, and T loops). Further hydrogen bonds mediate the characteristic L-shaped molecular structure. tRNAs have two regions of fundamental functional importance: the anti-codon, which is responsible for specific mRNA codon recognition, and the 3' end, to which the tRNAs corresponding amino acid is attached (by aminoacyl-tRNA synthetases). tRNAs cope with the degeneracy of the genetic code in two manners: having more than one tRNA (with a specific anti-codon) for a particular amino acid; and 'wobble' base-pairing, i.e. permitting non-standard base-pairing at the 3rd anti-codon position. Lineage: Duplodnaviria; Heunggongvirae; Uroviricota; Caudoviricetes; Chimalliviridae. RNAcentral also lists the same sequence under 1 other name. The record is from Rfam by way of RNAcentral.